UAGUAUUGACUGCAUCGCGUGUCGCCCUUUUCCGGUUGAUCCUGCCGGACCCGACUGCUAUCAGAAUAGGACUAAGCCAUGCGAGUCAACGUACACCUAGUAGCAAUACUAUAUGUACGUGGCAUACGGCUCAGUAACACGUAGUCAACAUGCCCAGGGGACGUGGAUAACCUCGGGAAACUGAGGAUAAACCGCGAUAGGUCAUAAUGUCUGGAAUGAUUUAUGGCUGAAAUCUACAUGGCCUCUGGAUUGGACUGCGGCCGAUCAGGCUGUUGGUGAGGUAAUGGCCCACCAAACCUAAAACCGGUACGGGCUCUGAGAGGAGGAGCCCGGAGAUGGGCACUGAGACAAGGGCCCAGGCCCUAUGGGGCGCAGCAGGCGCGAAACCUCUGCAAUAGGCGAAAGCUUGACAGGGUUAUUCUGAGUGGUUUCCGCUAAGGAAAUCUUUUGGCACCUCUAAAAAUGGUGCAGAAUAAGGGGUGGGCAAGCCUGGUGUCAGCCGCCGCGGUAAUACCAGCACCCCGAGUGGUCGGGACGAUUAUUGGGCCUAAAGCAUCCGUAGCCGGUUCUGCAAGUCUUCCGUUAAAUCCACCUGCUUAACAGUUGGGCUGCGGAGGAUACUAUAGAGCUAGGAGGCGGGAGAGGCAAGCGGUACUUAGUGGGUAGGGGUAAAAUCCGUUGAUCCACUGAAGACCACCAGUGGCGAAGGCGGCUUGCCAGAACGCGCUCGACGGUGAGGGAUGAAAGCUGGGGGAGCAAACCGGAUUAGAUACCCGGGUAGUCCCAGCUGUAAACGAUGCAGACUCGGUGAUGAAUAAGCUUCGUGCUUAUUCAGUGCCGCAGGGAAGCCGUUAAGUCUGCCGCCUGGGGAGUACGGUCGCAAGACUGAAACUUAAAGGAAUUGGCGGGGGAGCACCACAAGGGGUGAAGCCUGCGGUUCAAUUGGAGUCAACGCCGGGAAUCUUACCGGGGGCGACAGCAGAAUGAAGGUCAAGCUGAAGACUUUACCAGACAAGCUGAGAGGAGGUGCAUGGCCGUCGCCAGCUCGUGCCGUGAGGUGUCCUGUUAAGUCAGGUAACGAGUGAGAUCCCUGCCUCUAGUUGCUACCAUUGCUCUCAGGAGUAAAGGGGCUAAUUAGAGGGACUGCCGUCGCUGAGACGGAGGAAGGAGGGGGCUACGGCAGGUCAGUAUGCCCCGAAACCCUCGGGCCACACGCGGGCUGCAAUGGUAAGGACAAUAAGUUCCUAGUCCGAAAGGAGGAGGUAAUCUCCAAACCUUACCUCAGUUAUGAUUGAGGGCUGCAACUCGCCCUCAUGAAUAUGGAAUCCCUAGUAACCGCGUGUCACAAUCGCGCGGUGAAUACGUCCCUGCUCCUUGCACACACCGCCCGUCGCUUCAUCGAAGUUGGUUCUUGGCGAGGUGGUGUCUAAUUGGCACUAUCGAACCUGGGGUCAGCAACGAGGGAGAAGUCGUAACAAGGUAACCAAGGGCGACACGCGAUGCAGCGAGCCUCAGACACUC
Molecule: ribosomal RNA, 1521 nt
Filed under: uncultured archaeon
Lineage: Archaea
Description: bacterial SSU rRNA
Rfam family: Archaeal small subunit ribosomal RNA
Source: RNAcentral